AGGAUUUUAAAACAGAAUGUUUGAGCUGAAAGAGAACUUAGAGAUUAUUUGGUUCAGCUCCCACCCCAAAAGAAGAAUGCCUAUGGUGGUGACCAGGGAAAGUCCCUGUGGCUUAGAUAGCCUAAAACUCAGAAUCCUUGUAAUUCUCAAUUAGAGCCACAGGGUAAUAGAUUGUCACAUACUUCGUGGAAGCAACGACCAUUGGUUCAUCAUGCCCUUCUCUGGCAAGGGGAGAGUCUGUCUUGCAAGGUGAGUAGAACCGGGACCUGAUCGAUGCAGCACAGCCCUGUGACUCAGUAUACGCUUGCGGGGGCCAAAGGAAACCUGACUUCAGACAGUGGGCUGUUUGUGGGUCCUGCCGGUAAAGAGCCACAGGUGGACCUCCUUAUAUGGAAGAUGGAGCAAGAAUCCAACAGCAAGAGAGCCUCCACUUUGGGAAAGGGAAGGAGAGAUAUUCUAAGGAGGAUCAGGAUUCUGAGGAAGGGGAGAUCCCCAAAGGAAAUGUGGGUUGGGAGGUUCUGGGGUGGUGGGCUGGCUGGAAAGGACUGACACAGACCUGGCUUCCCUGCACAUGUGCGCACUUGUGUGCGCAUGUGUGCGCGCACACAUACACACGCGCGCGCACACACACACACACACACACACACACACACACACACACACCAGCAUAUGGAAUAAUGCUGCCUUCCCCCACGGUUUCCAGGAGGCUCAGCAGGGG
This is a long non-coding RNA of Phascolarctos cinereus (koala), 718 nucleotides long. RefSeq lists it as uncharacterized. Lineage: Eukaryota; Metazoa; Chordata; Mammalia; Diprotodontia; Phascolarctidae. The record is from RefSeq and is a predicted model, not a curated record.